RNAcentral lists this ribosomal RNA (274 nucleotides) under uncultured Burkholderiales bacterium. Its description in RNAcentral is "partial 16S ribosomal RNA". It matches the Rfam family "Bacterial small subunit ribosomal RNA", at positions 505 to 778 of the family's 1533-position model. Lineage: Bacteria; Pseudomonadati; Pseudomonadota; Betaproteobacteria; Burkholderiales. The record is from RNAcentral.
GUGCCAGCAGCCGCGGUAAUACGUAGGGUGCAAGCGUUAAUCGGAAUUACUGGGCGUAAAGCGUGCGCAGGCGGUUUUGUAAGUCUGUCGUGAAAGUCCCGGGCUCAACCUGGGAAUUGCGAUGGAGACUGCAAGGCUUGAAUCUGGCAGAGGGGGGUAGAAUUCCACGUGUAGCAGUGAAAUGCGUAGAGAUGUGGAGGAACACCGAUGGCGAAGGCAGCCCCCUGGGUCAAGAUUGACGCUCAUGCACGAAAGCGUGGGGAGCAAACAGGAU